AACAGUGAUGCAUAGUAUACUUAUUAAAACACAUCAUCCAUUAUAGGUGCAAGGCUGUCAAACUGUUGUCUUUUUUUUUUUUGAAUCAGUGUCAACUGUCAAACUGGUAUCUAACAGAAAUCAAACUUGGUUUCUUCUUCAUUGCAAGAACAGAAUUCUAGGUCAAACCUAAUGUAAGUAUAGACCAGAAAAUACAAUUGAUAUCUCCAGGGAAAUUCGACAACCUCUGGACUUCACAAGUCCCCUCCUAUCAUAAAAUAUUUAUCUCCUAAUCUUGUGUUUGUAUUUUUGGAGUUCAAAGACUAGUAAUCAUUCCAUUGGCCCAGAUAUUAAAACAAAUUCCUACCUUUCCACAUUGAGAAGUUUCUACCACUUGGUGGUCAAUUAAGUGCAUUGAUGUCGCUCUUUACCAGUGUUGAUUUUACUUACAUCAAAGGUCAGCCUAAAUCUUGAUUCAAAGGCAAAAAGGGGAGACAAAAUGGAGGCUCCCAGACAUUUACCUGUCAUCCAAGCUACGCUCAAUGUCAAAUUGGAAAAUUGAAAUUCGUCUAGGCGAAAGUUCAAUGCUUUCUCCUCUCCUUGCUUUG
RNAcentral lists this long non-coding RNA (587 nucleotides) under Trifolium pratense (red clover). RNAcentral's name for it is "long non-coding RNA (TPRA_LNC010457)". The record is from RNAcentral. Lineage: Eukaryota; Viridiplantae; Streptophyta; Magnoliopsida; Fabales; Fabaceae.